This 68-nucleotide transfer RNA is filed under the name Marmota monax (woodchuck). Its description in RNAcentral is "tRNA.Ala". The record is from RNAcentral. Lineage: Eukaryota; Metazoa; Chordata; Mammalia; Rodentia; Sciuridae.
GGUGUGGCUCAGUGGUAGAGUACUCCCCUAGCAUGUGCGAAUCCCUGGGUUCAAUCCUCAGCACAACA